ACAAGAGAUGUUUUAUAUGAAGGACAAGAGGUGGUUUGAUAUGAAGGACAAUAGGUGGUUGAUAUGAAGGACAAGAGGUGGUUUGAUAUGAAGGACAAGAGGUGGUUUGAUAUGAAGGACAAGAGGUGUUUGAUAUGAAGGACAAGAGGUAGUUUGAUAUGAAGGACAAGAGAUGGUUUGAUAUGAAGGACAGAGUGUUUGAUAUGAAGGACAAGAGGUGGUUUGAUAUGAAGGCAAGAGGUGGUUUGAUAUGAAGGACAAGAGGUGGUUUGAUAUGAAGGACAAGAGGUGGUUUGAUAUGAAGGACAAGAGGUGGUUUAUAUGAAGGACAAGAGGUGUUUGAUAUGAAGGACAUGAGGUGGUUUGAUAUGAAGGACUCACAUACAACCUAACUUUAUUUAGAUCAUGCUGGAUUAAUCUGAUUCUGUUCAUACUGUCCUAGGCUACCUAAGUUCUAGUAUGCACUAACGCAGUGGUUCCCAACCAUUUUUUGGUUACUGUACCACCAACUGAAUUUWGCUCUGCCUGGAGUACCCCUGAAGUAGACAUGUGUAUUUUACCAGUAGACCUAUGGUCUCAUGAGUCUUCUCAAGUACCCCUGUGGAUAGACCAGGUACCCCCAGGGGUCCUAAUACCACUGGUUGGGAACCACUGCAGUAAUGAACUCUUACAGUGGAUGUGAAGGAAGGAUAUGCCAGCAUGUACAUUAGCUAGUGUUGAGGAGAUUUUAAGAUGAAAUUUAGUUGUUUACAUCACAUCAUAUUUGAAAUGUAAAAAGAACAAAACAUCUGCAUUUAGUACAGCAAUGUACGUACACACACACGCACACUCACUCAGGAAUUACAUGUGACGUUAAUACACCUUUGUUACAUAUUUAUUGUGGAUAAUAUAUUUACUAUUUAGUCACGAUCUCAAAAUCUCUGUUUUGAAUGGACUUAUGCCUACUGGCAUCAUUGUUUACAGUCUGCUAAAAGUUUACUUCAGAGAUGUAUAUGAAGAAAAAACAUUUACAAUAUUGUAAAUAAAUGUGUAAAUAUGUCA
This is a non-coding RNA of Salvelinus sp. IW2-2015, 1041 nucleotides long. The record is from RefSeq and is a predicted model, not a curated record. NCBI's taxonomy places the organism in Eukaryota, Metazoa, Chordata, Actinopteri, Salmoniformes, Salmonidae.